RNAcentral lists this ribosomal RNA (492 nucleotides) under uncultured bacterium. RNAcentral's name for it is "bacterial SSU rRNA". It matches the Rfam family "Bacterial small subunit ribosomal RNA", at positions 17 to 518 of the family's 1533-position model. The record is from RNAcentral.
UUAUGGCUCAGGAUGAACGCUGGCGGCGUGCUUAACACAUGCAAGUCGAACGGAGUAUAUUUAAAAGCUUGCUUUGCAUAUACCUAGUGGCGGACGGGUGAGUAACGCGUGGGCAACCUGCCUUAUACCGGGGGACAACAGCUGGAAACGGCUGCUAAUACCGCAUAAGCGCACGAAGAGGCAUCUCUUAGUGUGAAAAACUCCGGUGGUAUAAGAUGGACCCGCGUCUGAUUAGCCAGUUGGCGGUGUAACGGACCACCAAAGCGACGAUCAGUAGCCGGCCUGAGAGGGCAAACGGCCACAUUGGGACUGAGACACGGCCCAAACUCCUACGGGAGGCAGCAGUGGGGAAUAUUGCACAAUGGGGGAAACCCUGAUGCCAGCGACGCCGCGUGAGUGAAGAAGUAUUUCGGUAUGUAAAGCUCUAUCAGCAGGAAAGAAAAUGACGGUACCUGACUAAGAAGCCCCGGCUAACUACGUGCCAGCCGCCGC